GAUGAACGCUAGCGGCAGGCUUAACACAUGCAAGUCGAGGGGCAGCGCGGGGCGGCAACGUCCUGGCGGCGACCGGCGGAAGGGUGCGUAACGCGUGAGCGACAUGCCCGUUGCCCGGGGACAACCGGUGGAAACGCCGACUAAUCCACGAUGGGACGGAGGCCCUCAUGGGUCUCUGUUGAAAGUUACGGCGGCGACGGAUUGGCUCGCGUCCGAUUAGCUUGUUGGCGGGGUAACGGCCCACCAAGGCUACGAUCGGUAGGGGUUCUGAGAGGAAGGUCCCCCACAAUGGAACUGAGACACGGUCCAUACUCCUACGGGAGGCAGCAGUGAGGAAUAUUGGUCAAUGGGCGGAAGCCUGAACCAGCCAUGCCGCGUGCGGGAAGGAGGCCCUAUGGGCUGUGAACCGCUUUUGCCUGGGGGCAAUGAGGGCGUCGGGCACGUCCGAUGAGAGUACCAGGGGAAUAAGCAUCGGCUAACUCCGUGCCAGCAGCCGCGGUAAUACGGGGGAUGCGAGCGUUAUCCGGAUUCAUUGGGUUUAAAGGGUGCGUAGGCUGUGCGUCAAGUCAGGGGUGAAAUUCCGGGGCUCAACUCCGGGGCUGCCCUUGAUACUGUCGCGCUGGAGUGCGGAUGCCGCCGGAGGA
Molecule: ribosomal RNA, 644 nt
Filed under: uncultured Bacteroidota bacterium
Lineage: Bacteria; Pseudomonadati; Bacteroidota
Description: bacterial SSU rRNA
Rfam family: Bacterial small subunit ribosomal RNA
Source: RNAcentral